GAGUCCACUCUGUAGCAAAAUCGUGAAAAACCCCUGACCGCUCAACCUGAAGUGCCCAAGUGACCCAAGUGACCCAGGGGUCUCCGACUGAUGGUUCGAAUCUCCAGCUUUCAGGAGGCAAGAAGCACAAAUGAAGCCCAGAGAGACCCCAGUCCUGAUGUCAGCAGCCCUGGUAGCUCCCAACCUGGAGUUAGCCAGACAAGUCAAUGUGGUCAGACACAAGGACCUACUGUACUCUACCACCACCGCCGCCAGUUUCAUCAAGGGAUGAGAGUGACACUGAUACCUCUGCCUCUGAGGAGGAAGACAGUGAGCAAGAGGAGGAGAUGCCACAGAAGAACCCCCCACAUCCACAUCAAGCACCAUGUAUUGUGCACCAAAAGGACCAAGUGAUAUCUCAAAAUCAAGAGAAGAGGGUCCUGUUCAGCCAUGUCUGAAAAAGUUUCCAAGAACCCAGUAUGGAAGUAGGAAGAGGGCAUUCAACAGCUCCUGGUAUAGUGACAAUCCAUGGCUGGAGUAUUCUGUACGUCAAGAUGCUUGCUCCUGUCACUUCAUGCUAUGGUCAUUAUUAAUCUAAACUUCGCACUAUGUUCUACUUAUACCUCAGAAUUGGCCACUUGGUGCUAGGGUCAUGAUUAGUCGAAACUUUGCACUAUGUUCUACUUAAACCUACCACUUGGUGGUGCCUGGGGUCAUGAUGAAACUGCACUAUGUAGCCUAGACCUAAGAUAAGGCAUAAGAUAAUUUGGCAUUUAGCCUACUGCAUACAGACUCCUGGUCAUGUUGAAAACUUACCUGUCAUGUCAAAUUGCCUGGCUUUGUAGGCACAUAUUGUAUAAUACUUUUACAUUUUCUCUGUAAAUAAACUCUGAAGGAUUUCAUUCAGAGUUUAUUGGGCAGAAUUCUAUGUUCAAAUCCCAUUGUGUUU
Epinephelus fuscoguttatus (brown-marbled grouper) is the source of this 928-nucleotide long non-coding RNA. RefSeq lists it as uncharacterized. The record is from RefSeq and is a predicted model, not a curated record. The transcript is spliced from 4 exons. NCBI's taxonomy places the organism in Eukaryota, Metazoa, Chordata, Actinopteri, Perciformes, Serranidae.